AGGCAGUGUACUGUUAGCUGGCUGCUUUGUGUGAAUCUAGCAGUCGCUACUGCACUGUCAA
Molecule: microRNA precursor, 61 nt
Filed under: Alligator mississippiensis (American alligator)
Lineage: Eukaryota; Metazoa; Chordata; Crocodylia; Alligatoridae
Description: Ami-Mir-34-P3b_pre stem-loop
Source: RNAcentral